Molecule: long non-coding RNA, 1596 nt
Organism: Megalobrama amblycephala (Wuchang bream)
Lineage: Eukaryota; Metazoa; Chordata; Actinopteri; Cypriniformes; Xenocyprididae
Exons: 6
Source: RefSeq, a predicted model, not a curated record
GUCAGGCUAGCAUACGCAUGGUUUUAUAAAUUUGAUUUUUUUUGUGCGUACGCAGAAUCUAGCUUUUGCGCGUACGUACACUUUUAGUAGGGAUCCUACGUACAGUUUUAUAAAUGAGACCCCAGGUCAGCAGCAAUCAUCUUGGACAGAUGUCCGGGGCAUCUUGCUGACAUCUCUGACUAUUUUCCUCUCCAGAGUUCUUGAAAUCUUGCACUUACGACCACACCCAGAAAGACUGACCAACCAUGAAUCCAGCAGCACAAAUACCACGUCUCCGUUAGAAAGACCUCCCGAUCGAGGACUAUGUUCAAUACUUUAUUGAACUGGCUCAUCUCACCAAGUUGGACACGGUCGCAGAGGAGGAACGCGACAUUCCUGCUGUACCGGCCACACUGAGCCUCUUCAGGACAUGACCACCAUGCCCAUUAGUCCCUUGCCAUUCCAUCACAAACUACAUUUCCCAUAAACCUUUGCCUAGACUCAUUGUUGUGUGAUUACAUCCACCUGUGUCAUCAAGACAGCAGCCUGAAAAACGAGCGCAGCUGGAAGAAAACAAAACUAGAGGUUACCAUAGUCAGCCGUAUCCGGUCCGUAUCCAGAUCAGAUGGUGGACCUGCACCUAUAAUGGCAUUGUCAAUUACAGAACUUAAGAAAAUUCCAAUGAUAUCAGAGACCACAUCCAGUUCUUCACAGAAGGAGUCUUUAAAGUGGUUCUACGUCAGAACGGCGACUCAUUAUUGGCCGGCUCCUCGUGCUGCUCAUGCAAGGGCAUAGAUUUGGUUUCAACUUUGGGGGGGUUGAACAUUGGUAUGGUUGUAUUGUAUUGGGGGGGUUACCUCCCCCCCAUCCCCCCCACAAACUACGCCCCUGUGCUCAUGUGAACAGCAGCUUGCAAAUACUGAGCCAGCGUUCUGAUGUAAAACCUGGAAGCGCUGGACGUAAACAGUGUAAAAGAAUUAUCCAAUAAUAAAGCAAAUUGAAUCGAACAUCUCCGAUUUUUUUGUGUACGAUAUGCCAGCAGAUUAUGAGCACAUGAUUAUCCUUCUAACUCAGUAACACUUACACAUGUGUAGUGAAAUGGUCCAUAGGGUUUGAAGAAUAUACACAGUCAGUAGGGUUUGAAGAAUAUACAUAAACAUUAUCAACUUAAACUGCAGGCUCACUAAUGGUUUGUAUAAAUAAAUGGUAUAAAUAAAAAUAACAAAUGCAAUUGAUUUAAUUGAACUCUAUUGACUAGUUGAUAAAUUGUGACCAUAGUGUCACACUUUGAAGCUUUUGUAGGUGCUUUGAUUCAUUUUUACACAGUCAUGCUGUCUCCCUCUUUAUUCCGGGAAAGAAAGUUGUUAUACUGAGCUUGCGUGAUGCUCUUCUCUGUAAUUUCGGCAAGGCCUUGUUCAAUAAUUCAGUCUAACAUUUUCUCAGAGCACGGUGAUUCAGGAUCCCAGUGCACCAGCAAGCAUCAGCUUGCCAUUAUUACGCCUCGCUGGACUAAAGGUAACAAGCAUCCAACCCCCCAACUCACUAGAGAGAAAGAGUGAGAGUGAGGGAAAUAGAGAGAGAAUGACUCCCAUCAUUGCUGAAAAUCCACCACCCCCU